Molecule: ribosomal RNA, 777 nt
Filed under: uncultured Neocallimastigales
Lineage: Eukaryota; Fungi; Neocallimastigomycota; Neocallimastigomycetes; Neocallimastigales
Description: partial large subunit ribosomal RNA
Rfam family: Eukaryotic large subunit ribosomal RNA
Source: RNAcentral
CCGCAUCUGUGCAUGCAGCAUAUCAAUAAGCGGAGGAAAAGAAACUAACAAGGAUUCCCCUAGUAACGGCGAGUGAAGGCGGGAAGAGCUCAAAUUUGAAAUCUUAAAGGGUUUCCCUUUACGAAUUGUAGUUUAAAGAAGUGUUUUCUGUUGAGGUUUUGGUAAAAGUUCUUUGGAAUAGGACAUCAUAGAGGGUGAGACUCCCGUAUUUGACCUUUACUUUCAACUUUGUGAUACACUUUCAAAGAGUCGGAUUGUUUGGGAAUGCAGUCCAAAAUGGGUGGUAAAUUUCAUCUAAAGCUAAAUAUUGGCGAGAGACCGAUAGCGAACAAGUACCGUGAGGGAAAGAUGAAAAGAACUUUGAAAAGAGAGUUAAACAGUACGUGAAAUUGUCAAAAGGGAAGCGUUUGACACCAGUGUUGUUUUUCUGAAAAUCAAUUAAAGAACUGUUUAUGCUAAGUUGUUUAGACUUUAUCAGCUAACUGUUUAGUUUUGAGCUUUUCUUUAAUGCACUUUUCAGUUAACAAGUCAACAUCAAUUUCUUUUGCUGUAAAAAAGCUUGAGGGAAGGUGGCUUGAGAUUCGUCUUAAGUGUUUAUAGCCUCUUGCCUAUGCAGUCGGAGAGAUUGAGGUCUGCAGCGUAGAUCCUUCGGGGCUAAAUGCAUUUGUGCUAAGUUAUAGCAUUUUAUAGACAACUUGUUGACUAUGAUUUGUCUUGUAGCUUACUCGCUUAUGUUAUUUUACCUACGCUUAGGAUGUUGACAGCAGUAUAGACUGU